RNAcentral lists this ribosomal RNA (396 nucleotides) under uncultured bacterium. RNAcentral describes it as "bacterial SSU rRNA". It matches the Rfam family "Bacterial small subunit ribosomal RNA", at positions 360 to 773 of the family's 1533-position model. The record is from RNAcentral.
AAUUUUGCGCAAUGGGCGAAAGCCUGACGCAGCAACGCCGCGUGAGGGAUGACGGCCUUCGGGUUGUAAACCUCUUUUGUCAGGGAAGAUGAUGACGGUACCUGGCGAAUAAGCCACGGCUAACUACGUGCCAGCAGCCGCGGUAAUACGUAGGUGGCGAGCGUUGUCCGGAUUUACUGGGCGUAAAGAGCGCGCAGGCGGUCGUCCAAGUCGCGUGUGAAAGCCCCCGGCUCAACUGGGGAGGGUCACGCGAUACUGAUCGACUCGAAGGCAGGAGAGGGUAGUGGAAUUCCCGGUGUAGUGGUGAAAUGCGUAGAUAUCGGGAGGAACACCAGUGGCGAAGGCGGCUUUCUGGACGAUAACUGACGCUGAGACGCGAAAGCGUGGGGAGCAAAC